UACAGAGGGAGCAAGCGUUGUUCGGAAUUAUUGGGCGUAAAGCGCGUGUAGGCGGUUCGUUAAGUCUGGUGUGAAAGCCCAGGGCUCAACCCUGGAAGUGCCCUGGAUACUGGCGAACUAGAGGACGGGAGAGGGUAGUGGAAUUCCUGGUGUACCGGUGAAAUGGGUAGAUAUCAGGAAGAACAUCGGUGGCGAAGGCGGCUACCUGGUCCGUAUCUGACGCUGAGACGCGAAAGCGUGGGGAGCAAACAGG
This 253-nucleotide ribosomal RNA is filed under the name uncultured bacterium. Its description in RNAcentral is "partial 16S ribosomal RNA". It matches the Rfam family "Bacterial small subunit ribosomal RNA", at positions 524 to 776 of the family's 1533-position model. The record is from RNAcentral.